This 215-nucleotide long non-coding RNA is filed under the name Gossypium barbadense (sea-island cotton). Its description in RNAcentral is "long non-coding RNA (GBAR_LNC021695)". The record is from RNAcentral. Lineage: Eukaryota; Viridiplantae; Streptophyta; Magnoliopsida; Malvales; Malvaceae.
GAGUUUAUGCCUAAAUUGUGAUAGGUUGAGUUGUUUGGUCAUUUAGACCAUUUUAUUAUUGAUGUUUAGCAUGUUUGAGGCAAAAUUUGUGGGAAAUUGCCUUCAUAGUCACGACAUCCUUUUGUUAAUGUCGUGAUGUUAAACAUUUGUUUCCAUAGUCACAACUCUCCCUUACUAAGCUCGUAACAUUGAGCCUCCUGCCUAUAAGGCGCGAC